Molecule: ribosomal RNA, 253 nt
Filed under: uncultured bacterium
Lineage: Bacteria
Description: partial 16S ribosomal RNA
Rfam family: Bacterial small subunit ribosomal RNA
Source: RNAcentral
UACGGGGGGGGCAAGCGUUGUUCGGAAUUACUGGGCGUAAAGGGCUCGUAGGCGGCCAACUAAGUCGGAUGUGAAAUCCCCAGGCUUAACCUGGGAACUGCAUCCGAUACUGGAUGGCUUGAAUUCGGGAGAGGGAUGCAGAAUUCCAGGUGUAGCGGUGAAAUGCGUAGAUAUCUGGAGGAAUACCGGUGGCGAAGGCGGCAUCCUGGACCGACAUUGACGCUGAGGCGCGAAAGCCAGGGGAGCAAACGGG